Molecule: long non-coding RNA, 629 nt
Organism: Trichechus manatus latirostris (Florida manatee)
Lineage: Eukaryota; Metazoa; Chordata; Mammalia; Sirenia; Trichechidae
Exons: 3
Source: RefSeq, a predicted model, not a curated record
AAGUAAAGGUGGUGACAUUUGCAACAACAAUGGACUCAGGCACAUGAAGGAUCAUGAAGAUGGCGCAGGAUGGGGCAACGUUUUAUUGUUUUACACAUAAGGUCACCAUAAGUCGGGGCCGACUCAGACGGCAACUAAUAAAAAUCUCCAUUUGCAGAUGAGGAAACUGGGGCACAAAAUGGUGUGUGUGGUAGAUGCAGAGCUGCACUGCCCAGAUCCUCUUUUAAAGGACUUUCUGCCUAGCUGCCUCCAGCUGUCAGCUCCUUCACGGUCAGCCUCAGCCUCAGCUAUUUGGCCGGAGGCUAUGCCAUUCCCAAAGCAGUCUAUAUCAAGUGACUGAGAGAAGCAAGACAUUAAGGCCCAGACAUCUCAGCCUGACAUGAGACAAUUCUGACAAGUAAUAUUCACAACAGAGCUCCCUGCCUGGUUGGCUGAGGCUUUGAGGAGACUGCCUCGGUUUGACUUCUCCCUUAGAAGAAACUGAGGCAUCCAAUGGCUUAGUAUCUUUCCUGAGGUCAUCAAGACGAAGGAGCAAGGUGCCAAUGCGGUGGUAGAUUUCAGAAGUAGACCUUGUGUUGAUACCUUAUCACACAGCUCGUCGUCAAGAGACAAAUAAAAUGCCCAGGUGA